Long non-coding RNA from Hipposideros armiger (great roundleaf bat), 1283 nucleotides. RefSeq lists it as uncharacterized. Lineage: Eukaryota; Metazoa; Chordata; Mammalia; Chiroptera; Hipposideridae. The transcript is spliced from 3 exons. The record is from RefSeq and is a predicted model, not a curated record.
GCUCUAGGAAGGAAACGUGCUGCAGACAUGGGGGUGGAGGGAUGGGGGUUAAAUGACCCGAAGAACUGCAGUGGACCCUGAGUGUGGGGCAGAAGACAAACUGGGUUUGAACAUAUGGUUCUGGAAAAGCAAACUAACCACAAAAACAAGUAAAGGGGAAAAGAGAAAGGAAACAAAAGCACACUGAUUUAUCCUAAGAAACACCUCCUCUUCCUCGUCUCAACCUCAUCAACACCUCCAUGAACCCCUGCAAAACGUCCAGUACAUGUAGCACGUGCGUGAAUGCACACCAACAGAUACUGAUCAACAACUGACGUUGAUCACAGGCGGGGAGAAAAUAACUUGAACUUCAGAUUCGUUCAGCAGUGCCCGAUGCUCUUUCACUAUCAGCCUCCGCACCUAUUCUCAGGCGCCCCAAAACAAAACAAACAAAAAACAACUCAGGGGCGGAAAGGGAACAGCAGCUGAGCGGAGUGGCACACGCUGGCAGCAUCCAUACCAUCGACUUCUGAUUAUUUCUGCUUUCCUGAGACGCAGCUACCAGCAUCGGACUAAAUACAGCACUGGAGAGAAACCGCCAGCACAGCGACACUCACAGACCCUCCCCGGGAGACCUGCACCCUUGCGUGUGCGGCUGAGGUUCUGUGAAAUGGACAGACGCUCAGGUGAGGCUCUGCCCACACGUGACCCUGCACACUGCGAAAUUCUUCCCUUCCACAAUCGCGCGGCCCUCCGAAGUCUUGCCUUACACCUGGUACGUGCAUAACACCUGGUAAUGUUGAUUCUGUAAGAAUACAUGAUGGGAGGGCAGAAAUGGGAAUGACCGGAGCUCGAUUUUUCUCGUGACCACAUCUCUCGUCCAUACGGUGCAACCCUACACACGGUGCACUGAAUAGAGUAGAAAGCAGACAAGGUAUUGUGCAAAAUGCAAGAACCCAGCUCUCAUCUGAUGUCUCACACACUCCCUUGACUUCAGGCAUUUUCCAGUCCUUUCUUCAAACGAGGAUAACAUAUUGGGAUGGGUAACAUUGGCAAAGCACUAUGGACUUCUCAGAAGAAAAGCAGUCAAUAAACAUAAGGUAAGCAGACUUGACUGCAGCCUCUCAGAGAAAAUGCAGGAAUGGCUUAGAAACUGAUCACCACGUACCCCAGCACUGCGCUCAGCCCAACCCCAUCCAUUCACUGCUUCCAUGUUUUCUUUCAAGCUCCUUCUCUUCCCUGUUGAUUUUUUUCCCAAGCACUAAACUACUGCCCUUCGUCUCAAACCCGACAAACACUUCUUU